UUUAUGGAGAGUUUGAUCCUGGCUCAGGAUGAACGCUGGCGGCGUGCCUAAAACAUGCAAGUCGAGCGGCAGCGAGUUCCUCACUGUGGUUCGGAAUAUUUUUCAGGUAGCAGAUAUCAUUUAUCAGUAAUUUAUCAGGUGUCAUUUUGCAGAGAGCUUUCAAAGAAAUCUCUGCUAAAUGCAAAAUGCUAAAUCUCUGCUAAAUGCAAAAUGCUAAAUGAUUAAUACUUUCCGAGCUAGAGUGAGGAAAGUCGGCUAGCGGCGGACGGGUGAGUAACACGUGGGA
Molecule: ribosomal RNA, 286 nt
Filed under: Candidatus Saccharimonadota bacterium
Lineage: Bacteria; Candidatus Saccharimonadota
Description: partial 16S ribosomal RNA
Rfam family: Bacterial small subunit ribosomal RNA
Source: RNAcentral